AUUGAACGCUGGCGGCAGGCCUAACACAUGCAAGUCGAACGGUAACAGGAAACAGCUUGCUGUUUCGCUGACGAGUGGCGGACGGGUGAGUAAUGUCUGGGAAACUGCCUGAUGGAGGGGGGUAACUACUGGAAACGGUAGCUAAUACCGCAUAACGUCGCAAGACCAAAGAGGGGGACCUUCGGGCCUCUUGCCAUCGGAUGUGCCCAGAUGGGAUUAGCUAGUAGGUGGGGUAACGGCUCACCUAGGCGACGAUCCCUAGCUGGUCUGAGAGGAUGACCAGCCACACUGGAACUGAGACACGGUCCAGACUCCUACGGGAGGCAGCAGUGGGGAAUAUUGGACAAUGGGCGCAAGCCUGAUGCAGCCAUGCCGCGUGUAUGAAGAAGGCCUUCGGGUUGUAAAGUACCUUCAGCGGGGAGGAAGGGAGUAAAGUUAAUACCUUGACUCAUUGACGUUACCCGCAGAAGAAGCACCGGCUAACUCCGUG
This 490-nucleotide ribosomal RNA is filed under the name uncultured bacterium. RNAcentral describes it as "partial 16S ribosomal RNA". It matches the Rfam family "Bacterial small subunit ribosomal RNA", at positions 30 to 507 of the family's 1533-position model. The record is from RNAcentral.